UACGGAGGGGGCUAGCGUUGUUCGGAAUUACUGGGCGUAAAGCGCACGUAGGCGGCUUUUUAAGUUAGGGGUGAAAUCCUGGAGCUCAACUCCAGAACUGCCUUUGAUACUGAGAAGCUUGAGUCCGGGAGAGGUGAGUGGAACUGCGAGUGUAGAGGUGAAAUUCGUAGAUAUUCGCAAGAACACCAGUGGCGAAGGCGGCUCACUGGCCCGGUACUGACGCUGAGGUGCGAAAGCGUGGGGAGCAAACAGG
Molecule: ribosomal RNA, 253 nt
Filed under: uncultured bacterium
Lineage: Bacteria
Description: partial 16S ribosomal RNA
Rfam family: Bacterial small subunit ribosomal RNA
Source: RNAcentral